RNAcentral lists this unclassified non-coding RNA (333 nucleotides) under Hevea brasiliensis (rubber tree). The record is from RNAcentral. Lineage: Eukaryota; Viridiplantae; Streptophyta; Magnoliopsida; Malpighiales; Euphorbiaceae.
GCUUAAAUAAUUGUCAUUCACUGAAAUGAUUAAAAGAAAAAAAAAUCUACAUACUCUUCACAAAAACUGCUUGGCCAAUCUGGAGGCAUACUCAAAAACUAAAAAGAAAUAAGCUAGAAAGUAGACAACUAGCUAAACAGAAACGGCACCAUCAGUAACAUCCUCUACUCUAAAUCCUAUUACAUCACAUUCAAAAAGUACGACAAUAAUCUACCACAUCCAGACUUCAGCAAUUUUAAAGCCAUAACAUAAUCCACAACAUUGGUUUGAUGAUCAAGUGUUAAUUAACUAAAACAUAAAUGAAAAAGGAAAGCUAACAACUUAAAACCAAAA